UUAACUUAUAUUUGUAUGGAAUGGGAUCAUUUGCGUACGUUUGCCGCUAGGGGCGCUGUUCCAACUGCAUACAAAUAUGAGCUA
Bombyx mori (domestic silkworm) is the source of this 84-nucleotide non-coding RNA. NCBI's taxonomy places the organism in Eukaryota, Metazoa, Arthropoda, Insecta, Lepidoptera, Bombycidae. The record is from Rfam.